Molecule: unclassified non-coding RNA, 576 nt
Filed under: Hevea brasiliensis (rubber tree)
Lineage: Eukaryota; Viridiplantae; Streptophyta; Magnoliopsida; Malpighiales; Euphorbiaceae
Source: RNAcentral
ACAACACAAUACGAUACUUUUGAAGGCACUUCUUUGCAUUAGACUUUCCACUAAAAUCCCUUUUUUCAUCGACACCAUAUAAUUUUAUCCUUUCCCAAAUUCACUUUGAACACAAAGGAUUCAUAUCUCUCACUCUACCAAAGCAACCUCAUUUGCAUUCAUAUGUAUGGACAACAAAUAAAUAGGCAAAAAAUUUGAAGGAGUAAUUAAGAAUAAAGUUAGUUUAAUUGUCUUCCUUCGGAUAAGUAAUGCCUCUUCCAUCAAGCUAACCAUCUUUCAAAUAUUCCAACAAAUGGUUCCCACAUUAAUUUAUCCUUAUAUCAUGCCCCAAUGGAGGCCCUAAGGAAUGUACCAACCCCAUGCUCUAGUAAUGUUCUCAAGAGCCUAAACAAAAUUACCGCAACAUCCCUUUUGAUGAUAACCAAAGCAUCCAGAUUUUACAGUUCCAAACCAUACAAAUAAGUUUUCAACAAUGAAAUCAAGGUCAACUGAACCAUCACGAAUUUAAACUCACCAAAAACAAAAAGAAUUAUAAAUAAAUAAAGGAAACAUACCAAGGUUUUGGCAGCUUAUCAA